Molecule: ribosomal RNA, 253 nt
Filed under: uncultured bacterium
Lineage: Bacteria
Description: partial 16S ribosomal RNA
Rfam family: Bacterial small subunit ribosomal RNA
Source: RNAcentral
UACGAAGGGUGCAAACGUUGCUCGGAAUUAUUGGGCGUAAAGCGCACGUAGGCGGCUUGUCAAGUCGGAUGUGAAAUCCCUCGGCUCAACCAAGGAAGUGCAUCCGAAACUGGCGAGCUUGAGUACUUAAGAGGAUCGCGGAAUUCCCGGUGUAGAGGUGAAAUUCGUAGAUAUCGGGAGGAACACCAGUGGCGAAGGCGGCGAUCUGGGAAGAUACUGACGCUGAGGUGCGAAAGCGUGGGGAGCAAACAGG